AGCAGUAGGGAAUCUUCCACAAUGGGCGCAAGCCUGAUGGAGCAACACCGCGUGAGUGAAGAAGGGUUUCGGCUCGUAAAGCCCUGUUGUUAAAGAAGAACACGUAUGAGAGUAACUGUUCAUACGUUGACGGUAUUUAACCAGAAAGUCACGGCUAACUACGUGCCAG
This 169-nucleotide ribosomal RNA is filed under the name uncultured bacterium. RNAcentral's name for it is "partial 16S ribosomal RNA". It matches the Rfam family "Bacterial small subunit ribosomal RNA", at positions 350 to 511 of the family's 1533-position model. The record is from RNAcentral.